UACGUAGGGGGCAAGCGUUGUCCGGAAUCAUUGGGCGUAAAGCGCGUGUAGGCGGUUCGGUAAGUCGGCUGUGAAAGUCCAGGGCUCAACCCUGGGAUGCCGGUCGAUACUGCCGGACUAGAGUUCGGAAGAGGCGAGUGGAAUUCCCGGUGUAGCGGUAAAAUGCGCAGAUAUCGGGAGGAACACCAAUGGCGAAGGCAGCUCGCUGGGACGUUACUGACGCUGAGACGCGAAAGCGUGGGGAGCAAACAGG
This 253-nucleotide ribosomal RNA is filed under the name uncultured bacterium. RNAcentral describes it as "partial 16S ribosomal RNA". It matches the Rfam family "Bacterial small subunit ribosomal RNA", at positions 524 to 776 of the family's 1533-position model. The record is from RNAcentral.